AUUGAACGCUGGCGGCAGGCCUAACACAUGCAAGUCGAACGGUAACAGGAAACAGCUUGCUGUUUCGCUGACGAGUGGCGGACGGGUGAGUAAUGUCUGGGAAACUGCCUGAUGGAGGGGGAUAACUACUGGAAACGGUAGCUAAUACCGCAUAACGUCGCAAGGCCAAAGAGGGGGACCUUCGGGCCUCUUGCCAUCGGAUGUGACCAGAUGGGAUUAGCUAGUAGGUGGGGUAACGGCUCACCUAGGCGACGAUCCCCAGCUGGUCUGAGAGGAUGACCAGCCACACUGGAACUGAGACACGGUCCAGACUCCUACGGGAGGCAGCAGUGGGGAAUAUUGCACAAUGGGCGCAAGCCUGAUGCAGCCAUGCCGCGUGUAUGAAGAAGGCCUUCGGGUUGUAAAGUACUUUCAGCGGGGAGGAAGGGAGUAAAGUUAAUACCUUUACUCAUUGACGUUACCCGCAGAAGAAGCACCGGCUAACUCCGUG
RNAcentral lists this ribosomal RNA (490 nucleotides) under uncultured bacterium. RNAcentral describes it as "partial 16S ribosomal RNA". It matches the Rfam family "Bacterial small subunit ribosomal RNA", at positions 30 to 507 of the family's 1533-position model. The record is from RNAcentral.